This 391-nucleotide unclassified non-coding RNA is filed under the name soil metagenome. RNAcentral describes it as "partial contains 5.8S ribosomal RNA, internal transcribed spacer 2, and large subunit ribosomal RNA". The stretch from base 1 to 122 matches the Rfam family "5.8S ribosomal RNA", at positions 35 to 154 of the family's 154-position model. The record is from RNAcentral.
GAUGAAGAACGCAGCGAAAUGCGAUACUUGGUGUGAAUUGCAGAAUCCCGUGAACCAUCGAGUCUUUGAACGCAAGUUGCGCCCGAAGCCAUUAGGCCGAGGGCACGCCUGCCUGGGCGUCACACGUCGUUGCCCCCCCAUCUACUCCUUCGGGAUUGCGGGGGGCGGAUGAUGGCCUCCCGUGCGCCUCGCCGCGCGGUUGGCAUAAAUGCCAAGUCCUCGGCGACGCACGCCACGACAAUCGGUGGUUGCGAAACCUCGGUUGCCCGUCGUGUGCGGUCGUCGCGCAUCGAGGGCUCGAAAAAAUUGCCGGGUUCCGGCUCGGCUUUCAACGCGACCCCAGGUCAGGCGGGGUUACCCGCUGAGUUUAAGCAUAUCAAUAAGCGGAGGA